CUAAUAAUUAUUGCAAAUACACGUAAUCACCCGUAAAUUUUCUCUAAUUAAUAUCUCAAUAAUUAUUGCGAACGUCACAAAAUGAUAUAGGACUUUUAUGUUCUUCUCAAUCCGUACUAUGUCUACGUGAAAACUUUGGAGGUCGUUUUAGGGCACUCUGUAUAAUUAUGUGUGAUUAUAUAUGAUCAAACAGAAGAAACAUGAAGAAACAGAAUUCAUGUAUCAUCAUUGUUUUCCGGGAAGAUAAGUAAUACGUCGGCUUCCCAGCGCGAUCUUUCAGGAACCGCUGAACGAUGGGACAUAGAGGACGGGAGAUUUUGCGGAGUUACGCGAUUAUGAGAGACGUCUAAAAGGUAAAUUGACUCUAAUGACACCGGUUCCCGAACGAUCGUCAACCUUCGACCGAGAUUUUACGGCAUGGAAAGUUAUUGGGAACUAAACGGCUGGACUCCCAGCAACAAAUUUCAAUCUUACUCCACAUUCGUUGAUGAACGAGGCGCGGACCUAGGAAUUUUUAUGCGAAAGUUCCUCCGUGCGAACGAGGAGUUCAAUGUACUUUCUCGAGAUUAUGCGAUGUCGCAUUGGUAUCCGCAAAAUCGAUACUGAGAUAUACUGGUCCGCUUAAUAAAGAUCUAAGGCGUUUUACAA
This is a long non-coding RNA of Odontomachus brunneus, 648 nucleotides long. RefSeq lists it as uncharacterized. The transcript has 2 exons. The record is from RefSeq and is a predicted model, not a curated record. NCBI's taxonomy places the organism in Eukaryota, Metazoa, Arthropoda, Insecta, Hymenoptera, Formicidae.